Molecule: small RNA, 132 nt
Filed under: Clostridium magnum
Lineage: Bacteria; Bacillati; Bacillota; Clostridia; Eubacteriales; Clostridiaceae
Also listed under: 1 other name
Description: c-di-AMP sequence
Rfam family: c-di-AMP riboswitch aptamer (ydaO/yuaA leader)
About the family: This family represents a conserved RNA structure found upstream of the ydaO and yuaA genes in Bacillus subtilis and related genes in other bacteria.
Source: RNAcentral
AUUUAAUAGACGCUGAAUCUAAAAGAGCGGGGGAACCGUUUCCUAGGGGUGAAUCUCAAUUAAUAUUGAGUAGGGAUAGACCUUCUGUCCGAAUCCGUCAGCUAACCUCGUAAGCGUUAAAAUGGAGGUAUU